Molecule: long non-coding RNA, 876 nt
Filed under: Pongo abelii (Sumatran orangutan)
Lineage: Eukaryota; Metazoa; Chordata; Mammalia; Primates; Hominidae
Description: lincRNA
Source: RNAcentral
UGCUCUACUAUUUGGUACUGUCAGUGUUUUGGAUAUUAGCCAUCUUAAUAGGUGCAAUGAAUGUGUCCUGCUCUUACUUGGGAUAAGUUCAAAAAUAGAUGCAAUUGAAAAAAAAUCUCCUGGGUCCAGGCGUGGUGGCUCACUCCUGUAAUCCUAGCACUUUGGGAGGCCAAAGUGGGCAGAUCAUGAGGUCAAGAGAUCGAGACCAUCGUGGCCAACAGGGUGAAACCCCAUCUCUCCUAAAAAUACAAAAAAUUAGCUGAGUAUGGUGGCACGUGUCUGUAAUCUCAGCUACUUGGGAGGCUGAGGCAGGAGAAUGGCUUGAACCCGCGAGGCAGAGGUUGCAGUGAGCCAAGAUCGUGCCACUGCACUCCAGCCUGGGUGACAGGGCUCAGACUCCGUCUAAAAAAAAAAAAAAAAAAACAACUCCUGGAAGUCCCAUUUAAUCUUGGUUACAUGAGCUUAUUAGAGAAUUUUGUUGUUCCCAACAUUAGCUGAGAAAUGUACUCUAAGAAGUGAAUAGACUAAAGUGGAACCAGGGUGCAGUGGAGAAUGAGAGCUGUUAUCUAGAAAACCUUUCUUGGGCAUGUUUCAGCACACUCUGCUCCUGACGAUGGCUCCAUCAUUGUCACCUGUGGUCAGGUGUAUGGGAUAUGCUGCAUAGGCUCCCUGUGAGCCUCCAAAUUGUAAGUUAAAGGCUCUGAGAGCUUGGCAGUAAGUAGACGACUCCUGGUCACAUUUGUUUAACCCAGUGUUUCCCAAACUCAUUUGGCCUUGGAACUCUAUUUCUUGGGACAUUUAUUACCUGCUGGUGGAACUAAUGUUCAAAAAAAUACACCCUAGAUAAUUUAGGCAAAACAUCUUUUCUAUAAAUAA